GGGGGUGUAGUGGAUUCGACGGGAUGAGUAGCAUCGCAGGCUGCAUGCCGAGUUCGAGCGAUGAAUCUCGUAAAAAAUCAUCAUGCAUUAAAUGUAGUUGACAACAACUAUUCUUAUAGCUUGGCUGCGUAACGCAGCUUAGCCGUUCUCACGGUUUCUUGCCUGUCAGUGCCGCUGAGAGCGCCGAUUAUGACAGGAUAGCAUAGCACCCUGUCUUCCGUCAGGUGCUGUGUAAACUUCCUGCGGAAUAGUCUGUGGUUGUGUGUUACCGAGCGUUGCCACAGGCGAAACUAAAUUCGGUAACUAAGCAUGUAGAUGCUUGAACGAUAUACCAUCUCGGACCGGGGUUCGAUUCCCCGCACCUCCACUU
This 370-nucleotide transfer-messenger RNA is filed under the name Fodinibius salicampi. It matches the Rfam family "transfer-messenger RNA". From Rfam's summary of the family: Bacterial tmRNA, also known as 10Sa RNA or SsrA, is named for its dual tRNA and mRNA-like properties. Its role is to liberate the mRNA from a stalled ribosome. To accomplish this part of the tmRNA is used as a reading frame that ends in a translation stop signal. The record is from RNAcentral. Lineage: Bacteria; Pseudomonadati; Balneolota; Balneolia; Balneolales; Balneolaceae.